Molecule: ribosomal RNA, 497 nt
Filed under: uncultured bacterium
Lineage: Bacteria
Description: partial 16S ribosomal RNA
Rfam family: Bacterial small subunit ribosomal RNA
Source: RNAcentral
GAUGAACGCUGGCGGCGUGCCUAAUACAUGCAAGUCGAGCGAACAGACGAGGAGCUUGCUCCGCUGACGUUAGCGGCGGACGGGUGAGUAACACGUGGAUAACCUACCUAUAAGACUGGGAUAACUUCGGGAAACCGGAGCUAAUACCGGAGAAUAUAUUGAACCGCAUGGUUCAAUAGUGAAAGACGGUUUUGCUGUCACUUAUAGCUGGAUCCGCGCCGCAUUAGCUGGUUGGUAGGGUAACGGCUUACCAAGGGGACGAUGCGUAGCCGACCUGAGAGGGGGAUCGGCCACACUGGAGCUGAGACACGGACCAGACUCCUACGAGAGGCAGCAGUAGGGAAUCGUCCGCAAUGGGCGAAAGCCUGACGGAGCAGCGCCGCGUGAGUGAUGAAGGUCUUCGGAUCGUAAAACUCUGUUAUUAGGGAAGAACAAAUUUGUAAGUAAAUAUGCACGUAUUGACGGUACCUAGUCAGAAAGCCACGGCUAACUACGUG